UUUAAUUGAAGAGUUUGAUCAUGGCUCAGAUUGAACGCUGGCGGCAGGCCUAACACAUGCAAGUCGGGCGGUAACAG
This 77-nucleotide ribosomal RNA is filed under the name Morganella morganii. RNAcentral's name for it is "partial 16S ribosomal RNA". It matches the Rfam family "Bacterial small subunit ribosomal RNA", at positions 1 to 75 of the family's 1533-position model. Lineage: Bacteria; Pseudomonadati; Pseudomonadota; Gammaproteobacteria; Enterobacterales; Morganellaceae. The record is from RNAcentral.